This 593-nucleotide ribosomal RNA is filed under the name Macrobiotus hufelandi group sp. Its description in RNAcentral is "partial 28S ribosomal RNA". It matches the Rfam family "Eukaryotic large subunit ribosomal RNA", at positions 78 to 551 of the family's 3401-position model. Lineage: Eukaryota; Metazoa; Tardigrada; Eutardigrada; Parachela; Macrobiotidae. The record is from RNAcentral.
CGAUAGUAACUGCGAGUGAAAUCGGCCAAGCCCAGCGCCGAAUCCUAUUGCUGGCAACGGUGACGGGAACUGUGGCGUGAAGAACGCUCUUACCGGUACGGUUCGUGUGCGUAAGUUCUCCUGAGUGAGGCUCCAUCCCAUGGAGGGUGCAAGGCCCGUAUCGCGCGCAACUGGUACCGGUGUAAGUGUUCGGAGAGUCGCCUUGUUUGUGAGUACAAGGUGAAGUCGGUGGUAAACUCCAUCGAAGGCUAAAUAUGACCACGAGUCCGAUAGCGAACAAGUACCGUGAGGGAAAAUUGAAAAGCACUUUGAAGAGAGAGCGAAACAGUGCGUGAAACCGCUCAGAGGCAAGCAGAUGGGGCCUCGAAGGCAAAGCAGCGAAUUCAGCUGGUGGUCUGCGUGGCCGGUCGGUUUGGAGAUCUUAACGACUCUUGCUGGCUGCGUCUGCGUAGGUGCCAGUGCACUUUCGUUGUUUGUACGCCACCGCCGUUGAGCGAGCAUCCGUCGGGUCGGCAUGUGAAGCCUUACUCCUUUACGGGCGUAGGUGCUUACAGUUGGCUUUGUACGCGUUUGCGCCUCAACCGGUCAAGUCA